RNAcentral lists this ribosomal RNA (497 nucleotides) under uncultured bacterium. RNAcentral's name for it is "partial 16S ribosomal RNA". It matches the Rfam family "Bacterial small subunit ribosomal RNA", at positions 28 to 507 of the family's 1533-position model. The record is from RNAcentral.
GAUGAACGCUGGCGGCGUGCCUAAUACAUGCAAGUCGAGCGAGCAGACGAGGAGCUUGCUCCUCUGACGUUAGCGGCGGACGGGUGAGUAACACGUGGAUAACCUACCUAUAAGACUGGGAUAACUUCGGGAAACCGGAGCUAAUACCGUAUAACAUGUUGAACCGCAUGGUUCAACAGUGAAAGACGGUCUUGCUGUCACUUAUAGAUGGAUCCGCGCCGCAUUAGCUAGUUGGUAAGGUAACGGCUUACCAAGGCAACGAUGCGUAGCCGACCUGAGAGGGUGAUCGGCCACACUGGAACUGAGACACGGUCCAGACUCCUACGGGAGGCAGCAGUAGGGAAUCUUCCGCAAUGGGCGAAAGCCUGACGGAGCAACGCCGCGUGAGUGAAGAAGGUCUUCGGAUCGUAAAACUCUGUUAUUAGGGAAGAACAAAUGUGUAAGUAACUAUGCACGUCUUGACGGUACCUAAUCAGAAAGCCACGGCUAACUACGUG